GACGGUACCAUAUGAAUAAGCACCGGCUAACUCCGUGCCAGCAGCCGCGGUAAUACGGAGGGUGCAAGCGUUACUCGGAAUCACUGGGCGUAAAGCGCGCGCAGGCGGCUAUUUAAGUUGGAUGUGAAAGCCUACGGCUCAACCGUAGAACUGCAUCCAAAACUAUUUAGCUAGAGUGUGGGAGAGGAAGAUGGAAUUAGUUGUGUAGGGGUAAAAUCCGUAGAGAUAACUAGGAAUACCAAAAGCGAAGGCAAUCUUCUGGAACAUUACUGACGCUGAGGCGCGAAAGCGUGGGGAGCAAACAGGAUUAGAUACCCUGGUAGUCCACGCCCUAAACGAUGAAUGUUAGUCGUCGGGUAGCUAGUCUAUUCGGUGAUGCAGCUAACGCAUUAAACAUUCCGUCUGGGGAGUACGGUCGCAAGAUUAAAACUCAAAGGAAUAGACGGGGACCCGCACAAGUGGUGGAGCAUGUGGUUUAAUUCGAAGAUACGCGAAGAACCUUACCUAGCCUUGACAUAUAUUAGAACUCACCAGAGAUGGAGAGGUGCCUUCGGGAGCUUUUAUACAGGUGCUGCACGGCUGUCGUCAGCUCGUGUCGUGAGAUGUUGGGUUAAGUCCCGCAACGAGCGCAACCCUCGUCACUAGUUACUAACGGUUCGGCCGAGGACUCUAGUGAGACUGCCUUCGUAAGGAGGAGGAAGGUGAGGACGACGUCAAGUCAUCAUGGCCCUUACGGCUAGGGCAACACACGUGCUACAAUGGCCAGGACAGUGAGACGCGAUACCGCGAGGUGGAGCAAAUCUAUAAACCUGGUCUCAGUUCGGAUUGUAGUCUGCAACUCGACUACAUGAAGCUGGAAUCACUAGUAAUCGUAGAUCAGCUAUGCUACGGUGAAUACGUUCCCGGGUCUUGUACACACCGCCCGUC
Molecule: ribosomal RNA, 927 nt
Filed under: uncultured Campylobacterota bacterium
Lineage: Bacteria; Pseudomonadati; Campylobacterota
Description: bacterial SSU rRNA
Rfam family: Bacterial small subunit ribosomal RNA
Source: RNAcentral